AACAAAGUAGUUCCCUUUCCAGGCACCUAAUAGUGCUCCUCUUCAGGAAAGUAGCCACUUGGAAUAAAAUCUGGCAUGCCUCAGGUUUUCAGGGCAGAAAGUAAUAAAUAAUUUCAUUUGCCUUCCUUUGGCUGCCUACAUGU
Small nucleolar RNA from Phyllostomus hastatus (greater spear-nosed bat), 143 nucleotides. RefSeq annotates it as small nucleolar RNA SNORA67. The record is from RefSeq and is a predicted model, not a curated record. The transcript has a single exon. NCBI's taxonomy places the organism in Eukaryota, Metazoa, Chordata, Mammalia, Chiroptera, Phyllostomidae.